UACGAAGGGGGCUAGCGUUGCUCGGAAUGACUGGGCGUAAAGGGCGCGUAGGCGGACUGCACAGUCAGGCGUGAAAUUCUUGGGCUUAACCUGGGGACUGCGUCUGAGACGUGUGAUCUAGAGUGAGGAAGAGGGUCGUGGAAUUUCCAGUGUAGAGGUGAAAUUCGUAGAUAUUGGAAAGAACACCGGUGGCGAAGGCGGCGACCUGGUCCUUGACUGACGCUGAGGUGCGAAAGCUGGGGGAGCGAAAGGG
Molecule: ribosomal RNA, 253 nt
Filed under: uncultured bacterium
Lineage: Bacteria
Description: partial 16S ribosomal RNA
Rfam family: Bacterial small subunit ribosomal RNA
Source: RNAcentral